Xiphophorus hellerii (green swordtail) is the source of this 189-nucleotide long non-coding RNA. RefSeq lists it as uncharacterized. The record is from RefSeq and is a predicted model, not a curated record. NCBI's taxonomy places the organism in Eukaryota, Metazoa, Chordata, Actinopteri, Cyprinodontiformes, Poeciliidae. The transcript has 3 exons.
UUUUAAUCAAACUGGCAAAAAAAAUGUUAAUCUACAAAAAUGGAACUAGGUAAAUAUUACACAACAACCUUUUUUCCUCUUUUUUUUUAUUCCAGCUUUCAGUCAAACCUCUACACAAAACCAAAAUUCUUGGUUUUAAUUGCUAGCAGGAGUUUUUGUUUAAGGAUCUUUUUAGAAGAAUAUAGUGGC